GCUAUGCGUCAGCGCCAUAGCAUACGCCGGCGUUUGACGCAGAAGUAUAAAUCAGCCUUAAGUCAAGAACCAAAUGAAGCACCAGAGUACAGAUUAUGGAGGUAUCUGAAGUUGAACUAACUGGAAGCAGGGAACCAUACUAAUAAAGUUCCUUAAGCAGGUUCCUUGUAAAGAUUAACCCAGGGAAGGAUCGAAAGUGGAGAAGACCAGAUCAAGAAAGACUACAUCAAGAUCUGCGGUCAGUUCAAAGGAUGUUUUGCAUUGGACUGUUUUUUUUUUGGCUUUGACCCUUGCUUGCCCCUGACCUCACUCUUGGACUGCCCUGUUGGAAUUUCAGUUUAUUUAAUUAAAAAAAUUUUUUUUGGUUCUGGGUAGAUGCUAAUAAAUAUUUAAUUGUAAUUAUUU
Danio rerio (zebrafish) is the source of this 405-nucleotide non-coding RNA. The record is from RefSeq and is a predicted model, not a curated record. Lineage: Eukaryota; Metazoa; Chordata; Actinopteri; Cypriniformes; Danionidae.